Molecule: ribosomal RNA, 476 nt
Filed under: uncultured bacterium
Lineage: Bacteria
Description: bacterial SSU rRNA
Rfam family: Bacterial small subunit ribosomal RNA
Source: RNAcentral
GAGUUUGAUCGUGGCUCAGAGCGAACGCUGGCGGCAGGCCUAACACAUGCAAGUCGAACGGAUCCCUCGGGAUUAGUGGCGGACGGGUGAGUAACACGUGGGGAACGUGCCUUUUGGUUCGGAACAACUCAGGGAAACUUGAGCUAAUACCGGAUGUGCCCUUCGGGGGAAAGAUUUAUCGCCAUUAGGGCGGCCCGCGUCUGAUUAGCUAGUUGGUGGGGUAAAGGCCUACCAAGGCUACGAUCAGUAGCUGGUCUGGAGAGGAUGAUCAGCCACAUUGGGACUGAGACACGGACCCAAACUCCGUACGGGAGGCAGCAGGUGGGGAAUCUUGCGCAAGUGGGACGAAAGCCUGACGCAGCCAUGCCGCGUGAAUGAUGAAGGUCUUAGGAUUAGUAAAAUUCUUCGACCGGGGACGAUAAUGACGGUACCCGGAGAAGAACGCCCGGCUAACUUCGUGCCAGCCGCCGCCGUAA